This 485-nucleotide ribosomal RNA is filed under the name uncultured bacterium. RNAcentral describes it as "partial 16S ribosomal RNA". It matches the Rfam family "Bacterial small subunit ribosomal RNA", at positions 30 to 507 of the family's 1533-position model. The record is from RNAcentral.
AUUGAACGCUGGCGGCAAGCUUAACACAUGCAAGUCGAGCGGGGGAAGGUAGCUUGCUACCGGACCUAGCGGCGGACGGGUGAGUAAUGCUUAGGAAUCUGCCUAUUAGUGGGGGACAACAUCUCGAAAGGGAUGCUAAUACCGCAUACGUCCUACGGGAGAAAGCAGGGGAUCUUCGGACCUUGCGCUAAUAGAUGAGCCUAAGUCGGAUUAGCUAGUUGGUGGGGUAAAGGCCUACCAAGGCGACGAUCUGUAGCGGGUCUGAGAGGAUGAUCCGCCACACUGGGACUGAGACACGGCCCAGACUCCUACGGGAGGCAGCAGUGGGGAAUAUUGGACAAUGGGGGGAACCCUGAUCCAGCCAUGCCGCGUGUGUGAAGAAGGCCUUAUGGUUGUAAAGCACUUUAAGCGAGGAGGAGGCUACUUUAGUUAAUACCUAGAGAUAGUGGACGUUACUCGCAGAAUAAGCACCGGCUAACUCUGUG